Molecule: transfer RNA, 16 nt
Filed under: Lithobates sylvaticus (wood frog)
Lineage: Eukaryota; Metazoa; Chordata; Amphibia; Anura; Ranidae
Description: Rana sylvatica (wood frog) partial tRNA-Trp
Source: RNAcentral
AAACUUAGGCCAACAU